GAUGAAGAACGCAGCGAAAUGCGAUACGUAGUGUGAAUUGCAGAAUUCAGUGAAUCAUCGAAUCUUUGAACGCACAUUGCGCCCCCUGGUAUUCCGGGGGGCAUGCCUGUCCGAGCGUCAUUGCUGCCCUCAAGCACGGCUUGUGUGUUGGGCCCCGUCCUCCGAUCCCGGGGGACGGGCCCGAAAGGCAGCGGCGGCACCGCGUCCGGUCCUCGAGCGUAUGGGGCUUUGUCACCCGCUCUGUAGGCCCGGCCGGCGCUUGCCGAUCAACCCAAAUUUUUAUCCAGGUUGACCUCGGAUCAGGUAGGGAUACCCGCUGAACUUAAGCAUAUCAAUAAGCGGAGGA
This 346-nucleotide unclassified non-coding RNA is filed under the name soil metagenome. RNAcentral's name for it is "partial contains 5.8S ribosomal RNA, internal transcribed spacer 2, and large subunit ribosomal RNA". The stretch from base 1 to 120 matches the Rfam family "5.8S ribosomal RNA", at positions 35 to 154 of the family's 154-position model. The record is from RNAcentral.